Molecule: ribosomal RNA, 253 nt
Filed under: uncultured bacterium
Lineage: Bacteria
Description: partial 16S ribosomal RNA
Rfam family: Bacterial small subunit ribosomal RNA
Source: RNAcentral
UACGUAGGGGGCAAGCGUUGUCCGGAUUUAUUGGGCGUAAAGAGCGUGUAGGCGGCCAGGCAGGUCUGCUGUGAAAACUCGAGGCUUAACCUCGAGCUGUCGGCGGAAACCAUCUGGCUAGAGUCCGGAAGAGGAGAAUGGAAUUCCCGGUGUAGCGGUGAAAUGCGCAGAUAUCGGGAAGAACACCCGUGGCGAAGGCGGUUCUCUAGUACGGUACUGACGCUGAGACGCGAAAGCGUGGGGAGCGAACAGG